This is a long non-coding RNA of Bos taurus (domestic cattle), 1080 nucleotides long. Lineage: Eukaryota; Metazoa; Chordata; Mammalia; Artiodactyla; Bovidae. The record is from Ensembl.
GUUAGGGGCGGGCCCGGAGGACUUAAACCACGCCCGAGGCCAGGGGCCGUGGUGGGGAGGAGCAACCCCACCUCCAAGGAGCGGUGGCUGCACGGGCGCAGGAGGGCCUAGAGGGGGUAUUAUUCUACGUUCAAGCCAGUUACCCGUCUCCCUGUCUCCAGCCCUGUGACUGUCCAUCACUGUCUACACUGCAGCCAGAGCAUCCUUCUGAAGCACUACAUCUAUCUUCAUCACUUUCCACUCCCCAGGACCUCCCAACCCAGAACAGGCCCUGAAGGCAAAGCACACCCCACUGAAGCAUCGUUUGAGUGCGGAUCCCUGCAAGGAGAAGGCAGAAGCAGAGGAAAAGAAUCAGUUUUUAGAAACACUAAACAGUGGGACAAGCAUCCAUUUGCCUCUGAGAAAGUAUUUUAACCCACAUUCCGCCUUUAUGGAGAAAGUGAAGUGAAAGAGGACCUGAUGAAGCCCGUCAGCCCCGAGCAGAUCCAACCUGCCCCUCAAAGUGACGUCACCAGGAGGGAGCCCGGGCGCUUCACUGGAGAGAGCAGCAUUCUUCUGACGCCUCCCAAGUGAGGCCUGAGCGGUCCAGGCGGAGCACUGCCUGCAGUUUAGUCAGGAAGGGCUGGCCCCGGCCCCCAGGACCCCUACCAGGGAUCUUGAGCAUGCAGUUAAGGGGCCUCACUCGCUCUGAGUGCCAGUGAGCCAGCCUCUUUGGACGUGGGAUGCUCAUUUUGGGUAGGGGGUUAGAGUCAAAAGCCUUGGCUGUGAAAACUGAUCAUUUUAAUGAAGUCCCAUGAGACUUGACAUGGAGCACUUUUCCAAGGUUGAAAAUAGCUUUUCCUGGAACCCCCACCUGUGUGCUGGUACCCAGGGAAGGUAUUUCCGUCCCAGCAGCACCUCUCAUGUUGGCUUGUCUAAAGGGAUUGAUGAGCAGCCUGUUCUUGUUCUUUGUGGUGACGGAGUAGCACCCAGGGACGGAGAAGUGAGAAAGCUUUAAUACCUACUCCUGUUACCUGACUCUUUCCACCACGUUUAAAGAAAAUUACAUCCCCAUUGCGGUAGCAGCUAUAUCAUUAAGGG